CCAGCGCUGCAUUGUGGGAGCUUUUAAAGCGGCGGGGGAGCGCGGCGCGGCCAUCGGGCCCACCGGCGCCCAGCCCGCGGGCCCCAGCACGCCCCAGAGGCUGCUCGGCCCGCCACACGCUCCCCCACCGCCGAGGCCUGUGGACCAGACGUGGUGAGAUGACCAGGGCCUCGCGGACACUCACGCGUGCAAAAUCUUCCAUAGACCGGGCUGAGACUUGUAAACCUGCCCUCUGCGCUGCCCCGGAAAGUAGGAGGCUUUAUCCGCACACAGGGGGAAAUAACCAGAUCCGUUCCAUCCCCCAAGGACUGGGUUUCAAUUGCUUUUCAUCCAGAGUGGCGGUGAUUCAGCGUCCCCCUCAGCAGCAGGCAAUGACAGAGGCAGGAGACGGAAAAAAAAAAAAAAAAAAAACCCACCGAAAACAGCGAAUGAAUCAGACAUGGGGACAACUAAGUACAGGUCAAUGGUAUGUGGAUGGAAGUUGUUCUGUGGAACUCCUGGAAAAACUCCUUCUUUAUGUGCUGGUGGUGAGGUACUGGCAGGCUUGACUGCCUGAACAUGGAUGUGAUAGCUGGAGCUACAGCAACAAUCCUGUGGUAUCAAAACUACCUUAAAGCCUGAAGUCCUAUGCUAAGGAAGACAUCAGAAGUGUGAAAAGAGUCACCUAAGAACCUGAGCUCCCUACUUCUGAAUUUCUUUUAUGUGAGAUAGAAAUAGCAGGUCUCCUAAUGAUAGCCAAACACAGUUGCUAACUGAUACAACAAAUAACUACAAUAUAGUGACAUAAGGGGUCAAAAAGAGGUAUAUAGAAAGUUCUAUGAGUGUGCAUUGAAGGAAAGGAUAAAUUUUGCCUGGAGAAAAGGAGAUUGGAAAAGGCUUCACAGAGGAGAUGACUUAAAAGAUGACUAACUAUUCACUAGCUGAGAAAGAAGGGCUUUCAAAUGCAAUAGUAUAAAAUCAAUGUUCCAGAACAUUUUUGUUUAUGGCAAAGUUGAUGCAUCUUGAAAGAUAGAUGAUGGUCUUAAAAAAAAAAUUUAUUAGGGGACGAUGUGAUAUUAAGCAUAGGAAGUCACGGAAGCCCUUACGGUCUAUGGCAGGAAGAAUUCGAAGAAGUUCUGAUCAAGGGAACUAUUAUAAUACUAAUUUUUAUAUAUUUGCCUUCGUGUAAUUUUCUUCCUGUUUUUGAGAAGAAAAUAGUAAGAAGGUACUUCACAAAGUUCCUGCAAGGAUUUGUGUUAUCUUUUAAUUCUCUUUUUCAGAGAACUUUCUGAAGUACCGUUGUAUGUAUAUCUUCUCCCGUUUAAUUCUGCUCAUCCUGAUGUUUAAUCACUUUUUCAGUCUAUACAAAUGGCAUCAUUUAGACUUCUUCAGCCUAGUGUACCAAGCCUUCAUUUAGUCACUCUUACUGAUAAGUUUGGAAGGAAAAAGGAAAAAAUUAUAUCCUGUUCAAUAUAUGUGUGUAUUAAGCAAGUAAAUAUGGUAUUCUUUCCCAUUUCUAAAGAAAAUCUUAUUCACAUACUGAAUAACUACAGUAAUCUAUAAUGUGAUUUAUUUGACCAACGUAAAAGGUCUUUUUAGAAACAACUGACAGUUCUCAGAUCUGUGGGAAUUUUCAAUUUAAUGAUAAUUUUUUCUUAAAAAAAAAAUGUUUAGAUGCCAAGUCUUAAAUAACCCCUUCAAAGACCUUCCACUAAUCUGAUGGGGCAGGAAAGUGAUGAUCAGUAUAUUUUGUUAAACAAUAAAAUACAGCAUGGAAAGAAAAUAAAGCAUAAGCUAUAAAUGAAAACUAUGACAGCUUAAGCCAAAAGGAAUACUCCACGUAUAUUCAGAAAUAGGAUUUAAAAUAUGAUUAGUCCUUCUUUAGGUGGAAGCUUUUUGAGAGGAUAAUCCUAUGAAAAUUAAAAAGUCUUGAUUUUUUUGUUGUAGGUUACAAGAAUGGAUUUAGUCAGCCAAGAUUAAAUAUGGGGGACUGCACAGAACCUGUAUUAGGAUAAGAAUAUUGGGGGAAAACAGUAGAUGAGGUACCAGAUGUUAUGGAGUUGCAUCUUUGUAAAUACAUGCAGUAAAAUCUGUACACCAUUCCUUUAACCCAAAUGCCACUCACCAAUCUCCUUAUGCUUCUGCAGUACAAUAAUUGAGGUUUAUAAUGAUGAUCCUGAUAUGACUUCUGAAUCAUAGCAAAAAAAUUAAAUUAUGUUCUGCUUCGCCUUCAUGUA
Molecule: long non-coding RNA, 2216 nt
Organism: Cynocephalus volans (Philippine flying lemur)
Lineage: Eukaryota; Metazoa; Chordata; Mammalia; Dermoptera; Cynocephalidae
Exons: 2
Source: RefSeq, a predicted model, not a curated record